CUGAACACGCCCGAUCUCGUCCGAUCUCGGAAGCUAAGCAGGGUCGGGCCUGGUUAGUACUUGGAUGGGAGACCGCCUGGGAAUACCAGGU
RNAcentral lists this ribosomal RNA (91 nucleotides) under Labrus bergylta (ballan wrasse). The record is from RNAcentral. Lineage: Eukaryota; Metazoa; Chordata; Actinopteri; Labriformes; Labridae.